GAAUGUAUUUAUAACUAGUUGGUGCUUGUACGAUUUGAAAUCUGACAUAUUUUUUUAAUAACUUUACAAUCAUAUUAUAUAAAAAAUACACAUCCAGCUAUGAUUGAAGGAUUGGACAACAGAACUAGAAUCCCAUACUAAGUCCAUCCAUCUAACACUAAAAUACGCCAUCUUACGGACUACAAACUGGACAACGUAAUACUGAUUUUACAGGCAAAACAUUUUUUCUUUCUUUCUAGUUCAUUCUUAAGGUCGGCGUUGUUAAUAGUGCAUGCCCUGUAUUCAUCCUGAGGAGCCCUUCUUGACUCUCCCCUCUAAUUAAACACUUCAAACAGGAAAUAGAACUAAUAAGUAAUAGAUAUAUCAAUAUCGAAACAGUAUUUAUUCCAGAUCACGUCUUUUAAUAAAUUGUAACCGUGAUAUCUUUCGAAUAUCCAUAUUGAAAAUUGGAUACUAUCCAGCUUUUGCAUGACCGAUGCGAAACAACUAUUUUGGUACCGCAUCAAAACAUCACAGUCGGCUUAAUUUCAUUAAUGACACUGAUCUCUCUUUGAGAAAUGUUCCAUGGGGAAAUCACGAUAUAGAGAUGCGGACAGGCAAAUAUCAUUUCCGUAUAGAAAGUAUUGCCACAGAAUAAGAAGUAUAUUCUUAAUCUGUGGUAUUGCAUGCGUAGUCGUUAUAUAUAGCAAAAGUUCUCCCUGCAAUCAAAAGGCCAAUUUAAGGCGGUUUUACACUACACAACGUUUGGGCUAAAACUGUCGCAUGCAACGUGCUUACAACUUGAGUUGUACUGUGCAAAUCAAGCACACAACUCAUCUCUACGACAACUUGGGCGACUUGUGUGCUUGAUUUACACAGUGCAACUCAAACUCAAA
Molecule: non-coding RNA, 875 nt
Organism: Paramuricea clavata
Lineage: Eukaryota; Metazoa; Cnidaria; Anthozoa; Malacalcyonacea; Plexauridae
Source: the annotation of a GenBank genome assembly